AACAUCUAAGUACCCCGAGGAAAAGAAAUCAACCGAGAUUCCCCCAGUAGCGGCGAGCGAACGGGGAGCAGCCCAGAGUCUGAAUCAGCUUGUGUGUUAGUGGAACGGUCUGGAAAGUCCGACGGUACAGGGUGAUAGUCCCGUACACCAAAAUGCACAGGUUGUGAACUCGAAGAGUAGGGCGGGACACGUGGUAUCCUGUCUGAAUAUGGGGGGACCAUCCUCCAAGGCUAAAUACUCCUGACUGACCGAUAGUGAACCAGUACCGUGAGGGAAAGGCGAAAAGAACCCCGGCGAGGGGAGUGAAAAAGAACCUGAAACCGUGUACGUACAAGCAGUGGGAGCCUCUUUAUGGGGUGACUGCGUACCUUUUGUAUAAUGGGUCAGCGACUUAU
RNAcentral lists this ribosomal RNA (395 nucleotides) under Kluyvera ascorbata. RNAcentral describes it as "partial 23S ribosomal RNA". It matches the Rfam family "Bacterial large subunit ribosomal RNA", at positions 197 to 631 of the family's 2925-position model. The record is from RNAcentral. Lineage: Bacteria; Pseudomonadati; Pseudomonadota; Gammaproteobacteria; Enterobacterales; Enterobacteriaceae.